This 773-nucleotide ribosomal RNA is filed under the name uncultured Streptococcaceae bacterium. RNAcentral's name for it is "bacterial SSU rRNA". It matches the Rfam family "Bacterial small subunit ribosomal RNA", at positions 26 to 782 of the family's 1533-position model. Lineage: Bacteria; Bacillati; Bacillota; Bacilli; Lactobacillales; Streptococcaceae. The record is from RNAcentral.
CAGACGAACGCUGGCGGCGUGCCUAAUACAUGCAAGUAGAACGCUGAAGGAAGGAGCUUGCUCUUUCCGGAUGAGUUGCGAACGGGCGAGUAACGCGUAGGUAACCUGCCUGGUAGCGGGGGAUAACUAUUGGAAACGAUAGCUAAUACCGCAUAACAGUAGAUAUCGCAUGAUAUUUGCUUGAAAGGUGCAAUUGCACCACUACCAGAUGGACCUGCGUUGUAUUAGCUAGUUGGUGAGGUAACGGCUCACCAAGGCAACGAUACAUAGCCGACCUGAGAGGGUGAUCGGCCACACUGGGACUGAGACACGGCCCAGACUCCUACGGGAGGCAGCAGUAGGGAAUCUUCGGCAAUGGACGGAAGUCUGACCGAGCAACGCCGCGUGAGUGAAGAAGGUUUUCGGAUCGUAAAGCUCUGUUGUAAGAGAAGAACGAGUGUGAGAGUGGAAAGUUCACACUGUGACGGUAUCUUACCAGAAAGGGACGGCUAACUACGUGCCAGCAGCCGCGGUAAUACGUAGGUCCCGAGCGUUGUCCGGAUUUGUUGGGCGUAAAGCGAGCGCAGGCGGUUAGAUAAGUCUGAAGUUAAAGGCUGUGGCUUAACCAUAGUACGCUUUGGAAACUGUUUAACUUGAGUGCAAGAGGGGAGAGUGGAAUUCCAUGUGUAGCGGUGAAAUGCGUAGAUAUAUGGAGGAACACCGGUGGCGAAAGCGGCUCUCUGGCUUGUAACUGACGCUGAGGCUCGAAAGCGUGGGGAGCAAACAGGAUUAGA